This 350-nucleotide ribosomal RNA is filed under the name uncultured Wolbachia sp. Its description in RNAcentral is "bacterial SSU rRNA". The record is from RNAcentral. Lineage: Bacteria; Pseudomonadati; Pseudomonadota; Alphaproteobacteria; Rickettsiales; Anaplasmataceae.
UUCGGCCGGAUUUUACACAAGUGUUGCAUGGCUGUCGUCAGCUCGUGUCGUGAGAUGUUGGGUUAAGUCCCGCAACGAGCGCAACCCUCAUCCUUAGUUGCYAYCAGGUAAUGCUGAGUACUUUAAGGAAACUGCCAGUGAUAAGCUGGAGGAAGGUGGGGAUGAUGUCAAGUCAUCAUGGCCUUUAUGGAGUGGGCUACACACGUGCUACAAUGGUGUCUACAAUGGGYUGCAAGGUGCGCAAGCCUAAGCUAAUCCCUAAAAGACAUCUCAGUUCGGAUUGUACUCUGCAACUCGAGUACAUGAAGUUGGAAUCGCUAGUAAUCGUGGAUCAGCAUGCCACGGUGAAU